AGAGAACCAUAUUUUCAGACCAGUUUUGAAAGGAUCCUACAGAUGAGAUUUAUGUAACUGUGCUAUUGAUUUUAAAGGAUGUUUCUGCAGUAGAGUGGUUUGUACAUAAGAGGAAUGAAUACUACUGUGCUGCAACAAGAACAGAAAGUCCAGAAAUCCCACUUUGAAGGACUCUGCACACAAAGAAGAAACUGCCUAAGGAGGACAAGUGGCGACUCAGGUAAGCCAAAACCAAAUGAUUAAUGAGUGAAACAUGCAAAAUAAAUUGUAUUCCUCCUGGCAACCACAGCAGACCAACCAACUAUGUUCUCUCAAGAAACACACAUUAAAAAAAAUGCAAAGAAAGUUCUUCC
Gallus gallus (chicken) is the source of this 353-nucleotide long non-coding RNA. NCBI's taxonomy places the organism in Eukaryota, Metazoa, Chordata, Aves, Galliformes, Phasianidae. The record is from Ensembl.